CUUCCUCCCUCCCCCACAACCUCCACUUCAAAGGUAUUCCUGCCCUUCUGUCCACCUCUCCACCUUCAUCCUCCCCCACCAGUGCCAUCUCCUAGAGCUGAAGACUGGCGACUGAGAGGGAUGCACCCUGGCUGCAGAGUGACUUCACGGGAGCCAUCGUGACUGUUGAAUUGGAUUCAGGCAAGAUGCACCACUGGGCAAAUUUUAUUAUGAGCUCUACGUGCCAGGAACUUCCAAUAUCUGUCAUCUGAGAAAGCCCCAGCGUGUUGAGACAGGAGCCAAGCUCUGCCCUGUAAGCCAGGUGAAACCAAAGCACCGAGGGCACCUGUAUGUGUGCCCACUAUGGUUUACUUUAGGGGGCUGGAGCUGUGGUGCAUUGGAUUAAAGCCCUGGCCUGAAGCACCAGCAUCCCAUAUGGGCGCCAGUUUGAGUCCCGGUUGCUUUACUUUUGAUCCAGCUCUCUGCCAUGGCCUGGGAAAGCAGAGGAAGAUGGCCCAAGUCCUUGGGCCUCUGCACCCAUGUGGGAGACCCGGAGGAAGCUCCUGGCUUCGGAACAGUGCAGCUCCGGCCAUGAGGCCAU
Lepus europaeus (European hare) is the source of this 580-nucleotide long non-coding RNA. RefSeq lists it as uncharacterized. The transcript is spliced from 4 exons. The record is from RefSeq and is a predicted model, not a curated record. Lineage: Eukaryota; Metazoa; Chordata; Mammalia; Lagomorpha; Leporidae.